RNAcentral lists this transfer RNA (96 nucleotides) under Acidobacteriota bacterium. RNAcentral's name for it is "Acidobacteria bacterium (hot springs metagenome) tRNA-Sec". It matches the Rfam family "Selenocysteine transfer RNA". Lineage: Bacteria; Pseudomonadati; Acidobacteriota. The record is from RNAcentral.
GGAAGCGAAUGGGGUCUGGUGGCUCCCGCGGUCUUCAAAACCGUUGUUUCCCCAAAAUUGGGGAAAGGUAGGUUCGAUUCCUACCCGCUUCCGCCA